This 735-nucleotide ribosomal RNA is filed under the name uncultured bacterium. RNAcentral's name for it is "bacterial SSU rRNA". It matches the Rfam family "Bacterial small subunit ribosomal RNA", at positions 8 to 794 of the family's 1533-position model. The record is from RNAcentral.
AGAGUUUGAUCAUGGCUCAGAACGAACGCUGGCGGCAGGCCUAACACAUGCAAGUCGAGCGCCCGCAAGGGAGCGGCAGACGGGUGAGUAACGCGUGGGAACGUGCCCUUUGGUUCGGAAUAUUCCCGGGAAACUGGGAGCAAAACCGGAUAAGCCCUUCGGGGGAAAGUUUACGCCAAAGGAUCGGCCCGCGUUAGAUUAGGUAGUUGGUGGGGUAACGGCCUACCAAGCCUACGAUCUAUAGCUGAUCUGAGGGGAUGAUCAGCCACACUGGGACUGAGACACGGCCCAGACUCCUACGGGAGGCAGCAGUGGGGAAUCUUGGACAAUGGGCGCAAGCCUGAUCCAGCCAUGCCGCGUGGAUGACUGAAGGCCCUAGGGUUGUAAAGUCCUUUCGACGGGGACGAUAAUGACGGUACCCGUAGAAGAAGCCCCGGCUAACUUCGUGCCAGCAGCCGCGGUAAUACGAAGGGGGCUAGCGUUGUUCGGAUUUACUGGGCGUAAAGGGCGCGUAGGCGGAUUUUUAAGUCGGGGGUGAAAUCCCGGAGCUCAACUCCGGAACUGCCUUCGAUACUGGAAGUCUGGAGCACGGUAGAGGUGAGUGGAAUUCCGAGUGUAGAGGUGAAAUUCGUAGAUAUUCGGAGGAACACCAGUGGCGAAGGCGGCUCACUGGACCGUUGCUGACGCUGAGGCGCGAAAGCGUGGGGAGCAAACAGGAUUAGAUACCCCGGUAGU